GGACUACCAGGGUAUCUAAUCCUGUUUGCUCCCCACGCUUUCGCGCCUCAGCGUCAGUCUAUGGCCAGGAGCUCGCCUUCGCCACCGGUGUUCUUCCAGAUAUCUACAGAUUUCACCCCUACACCUGGAAUUCCAGCUCCCCCUCCUACACUCAAGCCUUGCAGUUUCCAGCGCACUCCAACAGUUAAGCUGUUAUCUUUUACACCGGACUUGCACGGCCGCCUACGCGCCCUUUACACCCAAUAAUUCCGAACAACGCUCGCCCCUUACGUAUUACCGCGGCUGCUGGCAC
RNAcentral lists this ribosomal RNA (292 nucleotides) under uncultured bacterium. RNAcentral describes it as "partial 16S ribosomal RNA". The record is from RNAcentral.